Molecule: ribosomal RNA, 1053 nt
Filed under: Salmonella enterica subsp. enterica serovar Schwarzengrund
Lineage: Bacteria; Pseudomonadati; Pseudomonadota; Gammaproteobacteria; Enterobacterales; Enterobacteriaceae
Description: partial 23S ribosomal RNA
Rfam family: Bacterial large subunit ribosomal RNA
Source: RNAcentral
UAAUUGGGCGUUAAGUUGCAGGGUAUAGACCCGAAACCCGGUGAUCUAGCCAUGGGCAGGUUGAAGGUUGGGUAACACUAACUGGAGGACCGAACCGACUAAUGUUGAAAAAUUAGCGGAUGACCUGUGGCUGGGGGUGAAAGGCCAAUCAAACCGGGAGAUAGCUGGUUCUCCCCGAAAGCUAUUUAGGUAGCGCCUCGUGAAUUCAUCUCCGGGGGUAGAGCACUGUUUCGGCUAGGGGGCCAUCCCGGCUUACCAACCCGAUGCAAACUGCGAAUACCGGAGAAUGUUAUCACGGGAGACACACGGCGGGUGCUAACGUCCGUCGUGAAGAGGGAAACAACCCAGACCGCCAGCUAAGGUCCCAAAGUCAUGGUUAAGUGGGAAACGAUGUGGGAAGGCCCAGACAGCCAGGAUGUUGGCUUAGAAGCAGCCAUCAUUUAAAGAAAGCGUAAUAGCUCACUGGUCGAGUCGGCCUGCGCGGAAGAUGUAACGGGGCUAAACCAUGCACCGAAGCUGCGGCAGCGACGCUGAUGCGUUGUUGGGUAGGGGAGCGUUCUGUAAGCCUGCGAAGGUGGCCUGUGAGGGUUGCUGGAGGUAUCAGAAGUGCGAAUGCUGACAUAAGUAACGAUAAAGCGGGUGAAAAGCCCGCUCGCCGGAAGACCAAGGGUUCCUGUCCAACGUUAAUCGGGGCAGGGUGAGUCGACCCCUAAGGCGAGGCCGAAAGGCGUAGUCGAUGGGAAACGGGUUAAUAUUCCCGUACUUGGUGUUACUGCGAAGGGGGGACGGAGAAGGCUAUGUUGGCCGGGCGACGGUUGUCCCGGUUUAAGCGUGUAGGUGUGUGUUCCAGGUAAAUCCGGUUCACUUUAACACUGAGGCGUGAUGACGAGGCACUACGGUGCUGAAGCAACAAAUGCCCUGCUUCCAGGAAAAGCCUCUAAGCAUCAGGUAACAUCAAAUCGUACCCCAAACCGACACAGGUGGUCAGGUAGAGAAUACCAAGGCGCUUGAGAGAACUCGGGUGAAGGAACUAGGCAAAAUGGUGCCGUAACU